Molecule: ribosomal RNA, 401 nt
Filed under: Tetraselmis cordiformis
Lineage: Eukaryota; Viridiplantae; Chlorophyta; Chlorodendrophyceae; Chlorodendrales; Chlorodendraceae
Description: partial small subunit ribosomal RNA
Rfam family: Eukaryotic small subunit ribosomal RNA
Source: RNAcentral
GCUUGUCUCAAAGAUUAAGCCAUGCAUGUCUAAGUAUAAACAACUUUAUACUGUAAAACUGCGAACGGCUCAUUAUAUCAGCAAUAAUUUAUUUGAUGGUUUCUUACCCCAUGGAUAACUGUGGUAAUUCUAGAGCUAAUACGUGCGUAAAUCCCGACUCCUGGAAGGGACGUAUUUAUUAGAUUUAAGGCCAACCGAGCUUGCUCGUCUCUUGGUGAAUCAUGAUAACUUCACGAAUCGCAUGGCCUCGCGCCGGCGAUAUUUCAUUCAAAUUUCUGCCCUAUCAAUUGGCGAUGGUAGGAUAGAGGCCUACCAUGGUGUUAACGGGUGACGGGGGAUUAGGGUUCGAUUCCGGAGAGGCAGCCUGAGAAACGGCUACCACAUCCAAGGAAGGCAGCAGG